CCGCCGAGUGAACAGUACCGCGCGUGAACAGUGGUGAGGUUUAAACAUAAUUUAAAUUCUAUUUUUUAGCUAGUUAAAUCCUAUAAUUUUUGUAGAGGUUGAUUAUGUGAAUUUGGUUGGAAUUGGAGAAGUUUUUAAUCGAUUAUAAAUUUCUAAAGAUUUGGAUUUCGGUUAAUGUUAAUCGUGAAUCCGAUUGUCGGAUUUCCUCCAUAAUUGUUAUAUAGUCUGAAAUCGACGAGUGGGCAGUGUUUGUGAAGUUUGGUAAUUUUUGGAGAAACUUGGAAUUAAGUAUGAAUUUUGAAGUUUAGGGUUUCGAUUAUCGAAUUACGAGAAUCUGACCGUCGGAUAUCUCUCGGUUCUACCUUGAAACCUUUAAAUUAACGAAUUGGUAUUAGUGGUAUAAUUUGGGCUAAAUCCAAGG
RNAcentral lists this long non-coding RNA (421 nucleotides) under Rosa chinensis. Its description in RNAcentral is "sRNA RchiOBHm_Chr4g0438151". The record is from RNAcentral. Lineage: Eukaryota; Viridiplantae; Streptophyta; Magnoliopsida; Rosales; Rosaceae.